GACGAACGCUGGCGGCGUGCUUAACACAUGCAAGUCGAACGGAAAGGCCCCCACUUUUUUGGUGGGGGUGCUCGAGUGGCGAACGGGUGAGUAACACGUGGGUGAUCUGCCCUGUACUUCGGGAUAAGCUUGGGAAACUGGGUCUAAUACCGGAUAGGACCAUGGUUUAGUGUCUCAUGGUGGAAAAAUUAUUGUUUUGGUGCAGGAUGAGCUCGCGGCCUAUCAGCUUGUUGGUGGGGUAAUGGCCUACCAAGGCGUCGACGGGUAGCCGGCCUGAGAGGGUGGACGGCCAAAUUGGGACUGAGAUACGGCCCAGACUCCUACGGGAGGCAGCAGUGGGGAAUAGUGCACAAUGGGCGCAAGCCUGAUGCAGCGACGCCGCGUGGGGGAUGACGGCCUUCGGGUUGUAAACUCCUUUCGUUAGGGACGAAGCCGCACCUUUUUUGGGUGUGGUGACGGUACCUUUGUGAAGAAGCACCGGCUAACUACGUG
This 492-nucleotide ribosomal RNA is filed under the name uncultured bacterium. Its description in RNAcentral is "partial 16S ribosomal RNA". It matches the Rfam family "Bacterial small subunit ribosomal RNA", at positions 28 to 507 of the family's 1533-position model. The record is from RNAcentral.